Molecule: ribosomal RNA, 588 nt
Filed under: uncultured archaeon
Lineage: Archaea
Description: bacterial SSU rRNA
Rfam family: Archaeal small subunit ribosomal RNA
Source: RNAcentral
AGCCAUGCGAGUCAACAUAGCAAUACGUGGCAUACGGCUCAGUAACACGUAGUCAACAUGCCCAGGGGACGUGGAUAACCUCGGGAAACUGAGGAUAAACCGCGAUAGGUCAUCACUUCUGGAAUGGGUAAUGACUUAAACCUAUAUGGCCCCUGGAUUGGACUGCGGCCGAUCAGGCUGUUGGUGAGGUAAUGGCCCACCAAACCUGUAACCGGUACGGGCUCUGAGAGGAGGAGCCCGGAGAUGGGCACUGAGACAAGGGCCCAGGCCCUAUGGGGCGCAGCAGGCGCGAAACCUCUGCAAUAGGCGAAAGCUUGACAGGGUUACUCUGAGUGAUUUCCGUUAAGGAGACCUUUUGGCACCUCUAAAAAUGGUGCAGAAUAAGGGGUGGGCAAGUCUGGUGUCAGCCGCCGCGGUAAUACCAGCACCCCGAGUGGUCGGGACGUUUAUUGGGCCUAAAGCAUCCGUAGCCGGUUCUACAAGUCUUCCGUUAAAUCCACCUGCUUAACAGAUGGGCUGCGGAAGAUACUAUAGAGCUAGGAGGCGGGAGAGGCAAGCGGUACUCGAUGGGUAGGGGUAAAAUCCGUU